GUGGGAACUGUUACGAUAAAACUGAGUGUAACGCUGUCAUUGGUGAAUGCCCUGUAGCGACGGGGAAUCCCCGGUGUGACCUUGGAUAUACCGGAACUGAUUGUGUAAAAGUUUCAGACCUAACGGAUACCUCUAAAGAUUACACGGGAGUGAUUGCGGGAAGUGCUGUCGGAAUAUCUCUUGUUGUCUUGGUCACCGGACUCAUUAUUAUUGUUAUGGUCCGGAGGAUAACGACGCGUGUGCAGACAGGUGGUGCUAAAGGCUCUGGACCAAACAGUACUCCAGCAGAGGAGAGCUCCGUUCCCGCAGAAGUUAUGAAUCGAAGUGAGAUGUCUGAGCCGGCAAGCUUGUAUAAUACACGUGAUGAAAAUUCUGGUGAAGAUCCCCCCUAUGAAGCCAUUCGUGAAUACGUCAAUCUGUGAUAAAACAUACAGAUCUCGAAAACAAUGUCCAGGCUGUUAUAUUGUAUUUCUGGAUAAACCGAGAUUAUACUUGUGGUCUAAACCUCCCCGACAUCUGCUCACUAUGUGCUGUUAUAAUGUGAUUGUAUAUUAAAUGUGAUGAAAACUCAGAAUAAAACACUGACAGGUAAACUAACAAGAAGCCGUUUUUUCUCGGGUUACGUUUGACAUUUGCCAAAUAUCACAAUGGCAUCGAUGCUCUGGUUUAACUCUAUGUUAUUGUUAUAGUAUUUCAUAUCACUUGGAAUAUUUGUGGGGCAUCGGCCUAAU
Long non-coding RNA from Liolophura sinensis, 731 nucleotides. RefSeq lists it as uncharacterized. The record is from RefSeq and is a predicted model, not a curated record. The transcript is spliced from 3 exons. NCBI's taxonomy places the organism in Eukaryota, Metazoa, Mollusca, Polyplacophora, Chitonida, Chitonidae.